RNAcentral lists this long non-coding RNA (1413 nucleotides) under Calidris pugnax (ruff). RNAcentral describes it as "lncRNA (ENSCPUG00000013300.1)". Lineage: Eukaryota; Metazoa; Chordata; Aves; Charadriiformes; Scolopacidae. The record is from RNAcentral.
CUCUUCUCCCCCAGCUCUGAGUUGUGCUUGUUCUGUAUCCCCCCUCCCAGCCCUGGGUUUUCCAUCCUUUGUCCCCCUGGGAGCCAUUUGCCCCUCUCUGGGUGCUAUUUGUCCCCCUUCCAGCCUUGUUUUGGACCCGUGUCACUGUCUCUCUGCCACAGCUCUGGGGUCUGGGCGGUUGGGGACCGUUUGGUUCAAACCCGGUUCUGAGCCGUUGAGGCACCGGCUGCCCCCAUGGAUGCCCUGAUGGCCCCCCGGCCCCCCCGCCGUCCCUCCCUGCUCCACCUCCUCAGGAGCUUCUUCGGGCAUCUGCGAAACGUGCGAGGGGAGCCCAGGGUGGAGGAGCAAGAGCUGGGCGCCCUUGGGGAUGGCGGCGGCCAUGAUGGGGACCUGGCAGGCCAGCAGCCGCCAUACUGGGAGCCCUGGGAGGGUGAGGAGGGGGAGAGCACGGAGCCGCUGCUGGGGGAGCUGGGGGGGCUCAGCCUCGCCGGCUCCCUGGGGAGCAGCACCAGCAGGAGCUGCCUGACGUGGAGCACCAGCGACACGGAGCUGGCGUGUGACGUGGGGGACACGCCAGCCGGUAGCCCAGCCCUGCCACACGCAGGCCACGGGCUGGCCAGCCAGGAGGGGACGGCCAUGCCAGAAGCUUUUUGUGACAAAGCUCUGGAGACGGAUGAGUUUCUCCAAGGUCUGGGUGCUGGUGGUGAUGUUACCUGCAGUGCAAGCCCUGAGCCAAUGUUUUUUGUGGACUUCGAUGCUGAAUGUGAGAAAGAGCGGCUCCUGAAAGAUGACAGGGCAGGAUCCCCCACAGCAGAGCUGUCCCAGGGGAACAUGCUCUUCAACACAACCAGACAUCGAUGGACUUCACAUGAGCCUCAGGCCCCAGGAAGCUCGAAGGAGCUGGAAGGCGAAGAGGAGCCGCUUUUGAAUGCGGCGGGGAAUAGACCUGCAACUCCGGUCCUGCUCCCCCCGGCUCCAGACCCCUCGGACGCGGUCCCGGCGGGGAGAAGAGAGAGCAGGAGAAGCCCGUGGCUGCUUUGGGAGAAGCUGGGUACUGCUGGGAGCAGGUGGAGGAGGAACCCCUGGAAAAGCCUGAGGUGAGUCUAGAAGAGAAAAAGGCCAUCGGUGCACAGAGAUGGGGCAACUCUCCUGGCACCACGUGCCACCGUGGUCCUCUGUGACCACAGCUGUAUUUCUGCCUCCUCCACCAAGCUGCUGUGGGACCAUGUGCAGGGCACUUGGGCCAAUAUGUUUAAAAUUACAGUGCCAGGUCCAUAAAUCCAUUUUAGAAGAGCUAGUGGCUUCUACAGGAGAAAAACCAGCAUCUUUCAGUGAGGUUAUUUAUUAAAUGAGCCUAGUUUUAAGUUUUCCCUUUGAGAAGAGAGGUUCUGCACUCCCUGCCUCAGUUUCCCC